GUGAGGCUACCGCGUUGGUGACUGCUAUUCAAGUUUUUUGAUCUAUGCUUGAUUUUAUGCGGGAACUUAGAGCAUUUGUGUGGUAGUAGACCGAGCUUGUACUCGGAAACAGAAACGCAAAGCCGAAUGUGCCCACCUGGAUAACCCCAGGUCAUAAACUGAGGUAAAACGGCGUGGUGGUCUCACU
Molecule: non-coding RNA, 187 nt
Filed under: Chlorogloea purpurea SAG 13.99
Lineage: Bacteria; Bacillati; Cyanobacteriota; Cyanophyceae; Chroococcales; Entophysalidaceae
Description: 6S RNA
Rfam family: 6S / SsrS RNA
About the family: E. coli 6S RNA was the first non coding RNA to be sequenced, but its function was unknown until recently. It consists of 184 nucleotides that fold into an extended hairpin structure with a large single-stranded internal bulge. The 6S RNA specifically associates with RNA polymerase holoenzyme containing the sigma70 specificity factor.
Source: RNAcentral